UGAGAUGGAAGUUUUUAGACCUAUCCUAACAGUCAUGAACAGAAAAAAACACAGUUCACGCAGAGCUAGACAAGAGGAGCGUUUAACCAAUCUUUUCGCUAGAUAAGACCCUUGUUCCUCGGCUGGGAUUGUUUAGAGCCCUUUGAAGCUGCAUUUAAACUGCAUUUUCGAAGUUCAAACUCGAGGGCACCAUAGAAGUCCAUUUUAUGGAGAGGAAUCCUGAAAUGUUUUCCUCAAAAAACAUGAUUUCUUUACGACUGAAGAAAGAAAGAAAAUGAUGAUAAGGGGCACUGUUUGAGUCAUCUACACCUCAUUUACCGGAGGACAAGAGUGGAUGCAAAAUUGAUAGGCCAUCAGCUGACAGAGCACCUCUGGGAAUUAGACAGUGAUUUCCCUUGCACCUUGCCAUUCACAGGGUCUGAGACGGGGAGCUAAUUGAUUCCUGACAGGCUUUCCUAACAACAGUUCAAACAACCUUUUAUCAAGGAGCUUGCAGAGCACGAGAGAACGUGGAGACAGAGGCAGGUCGGACCCGUCAACACAAUGGCAGAUUAGAGGCCAAGAGAAGGUGGGAGAGAACAAAGGAGGGGGUUUCAACAGAAAUCUGAAUGCAAAAUGUCAAACUGGUCUGACAGAGACGUCGAGGAUCGCAGGUUUUCUAGGAGCUGGUGUGACGGAGCUGGAUGCAGCUAAGUAGACAGAACACGAACACGAACACACACACACACACGAGACUUGGCGCAACAGGUAAGUAAUUCAGCCUAGGUUUGAGUCCUUUUCCACUUGUGAGAUCAGACAAUGUGGUUGUGUGGAAUGUGUGUUCUUAUAGUGCUGUGUGGGUGAUUGGUGAAUGACAAUCAGGUGUGCGUGAUUAGUAUUCUGCUGAUUGUGAGCGCUGAUAGGUGGAAGAGCCUGACAUAUCCAUGACAGUAAUUGUGACUUUUUUUCUCACAAUUGCAAAUUAAUCAGACUUUUUCUCACAAUUUCAAGUUUAUAUUUCGCAUUCGCAAGUAAUAUAAACUCGUUACUGCAAUUUACUUGCAAUUCAGAUUUUUUCUCUGAAUUCCAUCUCAUAAUUCAGUUUUUUUUUUCUGCCACUGAGAAAAAAAAAGUACUUACUCUAACCCUAACUUUUUUAUCGCACAAUUCUGUUUUUCCUCAGAGAUGCGUCUUGCAAGUCUACCAUUUUUUUUUCUUUUCUCUUAGAAUUGCGAUAUUUCACAAUUCUUACUUUUCUCUUUCUUUUCUUUUCCUUUUUUUUUUUUUUUUUUAAAUCCUUUAUUUUAUUUUAUCCUUUGGAAGGAACAAGCUUCCCGUAUAUUACUGAAAAUGAUUAUUUUGUUAUUUUGCAUCUUUAAAAUGCAUUCCUAAAUAUAUUUUAUAUACAACUUAUGACAAAUAAAUACAGAGAUGUCCAAACAGGAUGGCUUUCUAGUUGUCAAUAUCUCUUGUGGGUCAGUAUCUCUGUAGGAUUACUUAUCAUUUGUGUCUGUCGGUCUACAGGAAGUUAACAUGGUGAUAUCUGGGAUCUUGCUUUCCACACAGGAGCAACUGCAGUGAUGCAGCACCGAUUAUCCCCAGAGCCACCGUUCUUUACUCUCUGUCAAGGUUUAUGAUCUCAGACAAGACUGCAGUCUAUUUCUAGACUACUAAAGACAACUAGUUGUAGAUGAGUUACUGCGGCCCAAGCAGCAGGAAGGAAGCUUCCAUUCCCCAGGAGCAGCAGUGUCAGCAUGACUUACACUCUUCCAGAAAUAGUCUACUGAUAGGAGGCCUUGUGGGAAUACAGUGCACAGUAAGAUGGGUGACUUCAAUAGCACAGACGGCCUG
This is a long non-coding RNA of Onychostoma macrolepis, 1830 nucleotides long. RefSeq lists it as uncharacterized. The transcript is spliced from 7 exons. Lineage: Eukaryota; Metazoa; Chordata; Actinopteri; Cypriniformes; Cyprinidae. The record is from RefSeq and is a predicted model, not a curated record.